Molecule: transfer RNA, 73 nt
Filed under: Stegodyphus mimosarum
Lineage: Eukaryota; Metazoa; Arthropoda; Arachnida; Araneae; Eresidae
Rfam family: tRNA
About the family: Transfer RNA (tRNA) molecules are approximately 80 nucleotides in length. Their secondary structure includes four short double-helical elements and three loops (D, anti-codon, and T loops).
Source: Rfam by way of RNAcentral
GCCUUUGUGGUGCAGUGGUCAGUACGCUCGACGCGUAUUCGAGAGGUUCGGGGUUCGAAUCCUGGCGAAAGCG